Molecule: ribosomal RNA, 427 nt
Filed under: uncultured bacterium
Lineage: Bacteria
Description: bacterial SSU rRNA
Rfam family: Bacterial small subunit ribosomal RNA
Source: RNAcentral
UGGGGAAUUUUGGACAAUGGGCGCAAGCCUGAUCCAGCAAUGCCGCGUGCAGGAUGAAGGCCUUCGGGUUGUAAACUGCUUUUGUACGGAGCGAAAAGGUCUGCCCUAAUACGGUGGGCUCAUGACGGUACCGUAAGAAUAAGCACCGGCUAACUACGUGCCAGCAGCCGCGGUAAUACGUAGGGUGCGAGCGUUAAUCGGAAUUACUGGGCGUAAAGCGUGCGCAGGCGGUUAUAUAAGACAGAGGUGAAAUCCCCGGGCUCAACCUGGGAAUUGCCUUUGUGACUGCAAGGCUUGAGUGCGGCAGAGGGGGAUGGAAUUCCGCGUGUAGCAGUGAAAUGCGUAGAUAUGCGGAGGAACACCGAUGGCGAAGGCAAUCCCCUGGACCUGUACUGACGCUCAUGCACGAAAGCGUGGGGAGCAAACA